CUGCUAUUGGCAGCACAUAUACUCAAGCUGGAACGACACAGUGAAUAUUGGCGUGGCCUCUGCGCAAGGAUGACACGCAAAUGUGCAUAGGCGCCACACUCACAG
Lethenteron reissneri (Far Eastern brook lamprey) is the source of this 105-nucleotide small nuclear RNA. The record is from RefSeq and is a predicted model, not a curated record. Lineage: Eukaryota; Metazoa; Chordata; Hyperoartia; Petromyzontiformes; Petromyzontidae.